Molecule: long non-coding RNA, 734 nt
Organism: Pygocentrus nattereri (red-bellied piranha)
Lineage: Eukaryota; Metazoa; Chordata; Actinopteri; Characiformes; Serrasalmidae
Source: Ensembl
GCUUGAAUGGUGGUGAGAAUAGUCAAUGUUCAGGACACCAAAUCUGUCCACAAGGUGGCGUUUGAACAUUUGAUUUUAAUGUUUCUCACACCAGAGAAGCCAACAGUUCUUAGCAACAAAGAUACAUCUUUUAGCAAGUAUAAUGAUUUGCUGAACAUAUACAUAUAUAUGAAGGCUGAUGUAAUGAAAAUGACAUAUUUGUGAGUGGUAAACCACUCAGAUGUUUGGUUCCCCGUCUGGCAUGCCUUAUGCAGAAGGUCUCCUUUUACAAAGCAUCAUUUCCUAAUUUCAGAGAGACAGUACGUUUCUGCUUCAACAUGUAGCCACGGACCCUCUUUCCUGACUGGACUGAAAGCCCUUCAUCGUGUUUAGGAUGCGGCGGACCCGGACUGUGUCAGGACCCCACUGGGUUCGGAAAUGCACCAUGUUUAUGCGAGCAAUGAGCCUGACAGACAUGUCUGGUUUCUCCUUUCCCAACGUGAUGCAGUUGGCCUUGCCGGCUCGGAGCACAGAUAAUCUGGACAGUUCCGGGGAGCCCGCCACCCGCUCAGUUGGCACCACUGCCAACUUGAAGGGGAAGAUGAGCAAGAGGUGAGAAACUGCCUGCCCCCAGUUCUUUUGCUUUGUGACUAGUGUUAUCCGGCUCAUACAGACUGAAACUUCAUUGAGUCUUCUGUGGUAACCCAGGGGUUGACCAGAGGGCUGUACAAUAUGAUGUUAAACUUUUACCAUAC